AGCUUUGCCCAGUGGCAGUAUUGUAGCCAAUGAGGUUUAUCCGAGGCACGAUUAUUGCUAAUUGGAAAAAAAAAAGAGGAGGGAGGCUAUUUCUAGAACAUUUUACAUGGGAGGCACUCCAGUUAACCAAUGUGUUAACAAAU
Molecule: small nuclear RNA, 143 nt
Organism: Sorex fumeus (smoky shrew)
Lineage: Eukaryota; Metazoa; Chordata; Mammalia; Eulipotyphla; Soricidae
Product: U4 spliceosomal RNA
Exons: 1
Source: RefSeq, a predicted model, not a curated record